GUACUCUCACACUCUCUGAUCCUUUGGAUUUGGGGAGCGGUGGACUUGGGUGCUUGCUGCUUCCUUGUGGCUCACCUGAAAUGCAUCAGUGCAUCUCUUGAUUGGACAUAGUACGGCGUGAUAAGUGUCUUCGCCGGCACCUCAUAAGAGGGUGGCUGAUCGGGAGCUCUGUGCUUUCAAACCGUCUUCGGACAACCCUUGACA
RNAcentral lists this unclassified non-coding RNA (204 nucleotides) under uncultured Sebacina. RNAcentral's name for it is "sequence contains ITS2". The record is from RNAcentral. Lineage: Eukaryota; Fungi; Basidiomycota; Agaricomycetes; Sebacinales; Sebacinaceae.